UAAACUUUUUGCUUAGCAAAUCCAGGAUCUAUGACAUAAACUAUGCCAUCAAUAGUCAAAGACGUUUCGGCAAUGUUUGUGGAGACAACAAUCUUCCUUCCAGCUGGACCAUUUGGUGUCAAAGGAGGAGGAGCAGGAUCAAAUAUUUUCUGCUGCAUAGCUGGAGGAAGUGUGGAGUACAGAGGCACAACUAAUGCAGGUCCAGCGGUAUCUCCAAAAUUGCCGAUUUCCUUUGUUAUCUUCCGACAGGCAUCUUCAAUUUCCUCCUCCCCAGUAAGAAAGACUAGUAUAUCACCAGGAGGUUCACAUGUAUGUAUUUGAAUAACUGUACGAAUUGCUGCUUCAAGGUAGUCCCUCUCAGGCUCCUG
This 368-nucleotide long non-coding RNA is filed under the name Daucus carota (carrot). RNAcentral describes it as "long non-coding RNA (DCAR_LNC001204)". Lineage: Eukaryota; Viridiplantae; Streptophyta; Magnoliopsida; Apiales; Apiaceae. The record is from RNAcentral.